GUGAGACAGAAGCCAGGACAAUGGUCUAACCCUGGGGCACCCCAAGAAGACCAGCUGCCAUGGAGAUUGAGAACAAGGCUGAUUUGCUCAAAACCAGGGUGCCCAAGGAAUGAUAAAAGGGAGAUGGGUAAUACAGACCAGGUACCGUGGGUCCCCAGAGACAAGUUUCUGCUCUCCCCAUUGUUGACCUCCUUACAAGGCUGCGUUUCCCAGCCUCUGCCCUAAGACUAUCCUGCUGUGGUCCACAGGUUCUCAAUGCUAAUUUGUGGCCUUUUAAAAAAUAAGCAUAAGGCCCGGCGCGGUGACUCACGCCUGUAAUCCCAGCACUUUGGGAGGCCGAAGCAGGUGGAUCACGAGGUCAGGAGUUCAAGACCAGCCUGGCCAAGAUGGUGAAACCCUGUCUCUACUAAAAAUACAAAAAAUUAGCUGGGCUUGGUGGCAGGUGCCUAUAAUCCCUGCUACUCUGGACGCUCAGGCAGAGAAUUGCUUAAACCGGGGCGGGCGGGUGGGGGAUGGGAGGGCGGAGGUUGCAGUGGGCGGAGAUCACGCCACUGCACUCCAGUCUGAGCGACAGAGUGAGACUCUGUCUCAAUAAAUAAAUAAAUAAAUAAAAUAAAAUAAGCAUAAACAUUUGAGAUUAGAGCUAAAAGAUCUGACUUUGAUCAUCCACAGCAGCCAGGCUCCCUCCCUACCGCUCAGCUCCGAUGCACUGCUGGUGGGAGGGGAGGUGCUUUGCCUGGCCGCCCCCUUCUCUGGGGAUCCUGUCUCGGUCGCUUCCCCCACUCCUGUUCCCGGGCUUGUAUCAACCCCACCCAGUGGCUACUGCUGUCUGUGCCCGAGGACCUCAUCUCCUCGCAGAGGCUGGCUCCCCGCAUCCCGCAUCCCACACUGGGACACGCCUGUGGCCUUGCCAGGGUGGGCGGGACACGGCCUCUUUCCUUCCUUCCCAUCCAGCGCCGGUGAGGCUCAGCACUCAUUGUCUCACUGGCAGCACAAAGCCUUGGGGGCUCCACGGGAUAAUUAAUAGCGAGGACGCCCCCAGGGACCUCCGGAAAGAGACACCAUUGUGGCAGGCCUCCAGGUUCUCGUCUGCCUGCUAUUGAAUUUUGUGGCGGUGAUUUCUUCAGAAACUGCCUCUUCCCACCCCCACUCCACCCACAGAGAGGAUGAGCUACAUCCGUACAGAGCCUGGCACUCCGGAUGCUGGCGGAAUUGAUUCAGUAGCAUGAGCAGGAAGGUCCAUUUGAAGAGAUCACUCCAAAACAGCGGUUCGCAACAAGGUGGGAGUGGAAGGGAAUGUUCUCCUGGGAGUGGGUGGGGGUGGGGUGUCAGCGUGUGGACCUGGUACAGCAGCGUUUGAAAAUACCUCCAGUAUUCUAAUAUAAUUUAAAAUAAUAAUUAGCCGGGUGUGGUGACUCGUGCCUGUAAUCCCAGCUACUAGGGAGGCUGAGGUGGGAGGAUUCCUUGAGCCCUGGAGUUCAAGACCAGCCUGGACAGCAUAGCAAACCCCUGUCUCAUAUAAAUAAUAAUAAUAAUAAUGAUUAUUAUUCAAUGUUUUUGUCAUUCAAACCACAGGUAGUAAAGCUUGACAGAAUUGUUGUGGGUGAGAUGUGAGCUAAAAAUAUUGAGAACCAGGACCUAGCAGAUUGUCUGCUGUAAGUUCCCUGGCUGUGGAGGAUGGAGUCUCCCCUGAAGAGUAGUGUUGGUCCUUGGGACAGUGGCCGCAGUCCAGCCCAUCACAGAAAGGAAUGGUGCUCCCUGGGGCUGGAAACCGGUGUCUGGAGUUGGGGGAGGUGGGGAGGAACUUGGAGAUUCGGCUCACUGUCAGUCUUGUUAAGAAGGCCAGUGUCUAAAGUGGGAACCACACCAGGUAAGCUGUAUUCUAAUCUGCUCCUUGUUUUCUUGGCAGAAUGGUUCAUGCAGGACAGAAAAAGGAGAGACAAAGGACUGUCAGGAGAGUGACCGGUCCAAAUGAGGACUCAGGAACCCCCAGUGGAUCCAGAGAGAAAAACACUCUGGGUAGGAAGGGCAUGGGAAGUGAUUACUAUGCACUUGUGCUGGAGCAAAAUGACACCAGGGGAGGUUGACCAGCACCCUCUGGGUUCAUUCUUUUUAUAAGGAAGACUUCUGGUCUCUUACUCUGUUCCUUGAAUGGAUUUACAUCCCAGAAAGAUGUGUGCUCUGUGCAAAUGAAGGGGUACUCUUCCACUGUAAAGAAUGCAUUGGCUUUCUGGACUGGGGGGCUGGCUGGUACAAGCGUUUCCCAGGAGAGAGAAGUUUCUGAAAGGAUUUUUGGAGUUGCAGAGUCAAGGACCAGGCUGGGAGUCUUGGUGACCCCACCAAGCACAGAGGAUGCCAGGCGCCUGAUUGGAGAAGGCUGUGGGAGUCUUCUAGAACAAUCGUGCUAACUGCACACACCAUCUGCAUGAACCAAUACCAGGUUGUACUGGUAUUCAGCCAUCUUGUACUAUUUCCUCGGGGUGUCCCUAGAGUGUUUCGUUUUUGACUAGCAUUUCAGCAGCCUGCAGGUAGGGACAGCAUUUCAUACACAGUGUGCGCCUCCCAGGAGCCAGGUGCAGCUGGGGUGUGUGACUGUGAGGCUCCUUGCUGUCCAUGACAUAAUGUCACCCCCACUGCCUCAGCUUACUCCCCAGUCACCCCUUGAGGUAACAGGGCUGGUGCUUUUACAAUUCCCAUUUUAAAGAUGAGGAAACAGGCUAGGUGUGGUGGCUCACGCCUGCAAUCCCAGCACUUUGGGAGGCUGAGGCAGGUGGGUCAUUUGAGUUCAGGAGUUCGAGAUCAGCCUGACCAACACAAAAAAUUACCAGAGUGUGGUGGUGCAUGCCUGUCAUUUCAGCUACUUGGGAGGCUGAGGCCUGAGAAUUGCUUGAACCCAGAGGUGGACGUUGCAGUGAGCCGAGAUCGCACCACUGCACUCUAGCCUGGGUGACACAGCGAGACUCCAUCUCAAAAAAAAAAAAAAAAAAAAAAAAGAUGAGGAAACAGAGGUCAGUGAGUGCUGGCCUCAAGAGAACCUCAAAAUCCCACUCUGCCUAGCCCUGCCUGCCCUUGUCUUCAAUCCUUGAGGAACAGAAUGAUGCCAGGUGUGAGUUGUUCAGGUAUCUCCCCAAUAUCUCCUCCUACAUGGUGGGGAGGGUGACCACGGCAGGGGUUGGGGGAAGGCUCUUCUGCCAUGCCUUGGGACUUCCCUUUCUGUGUGAGUGUGAGGUAGGUGGAUUCCACCUACUCAGCAUGGAUUUUGCACAGGAAGUCUUGCUCCCUUUUCCUUGGUGUGAUUUUUAUUGAACUCACCUUUCCUUACUAAGGGAGUGUUAAGUUGGUUUGGAUUUCAGGAGAAAAGAAACAUAGCCUACUUAGGUGAGCCCCCAGCCUACAUUAAGGAAUCUCUUACAUGGGACAGCUUGGUCCAGCAGGGCAAAAACGUUUCAGUAAUAAAUAAUUUGCAUUUGCCUGCCCUAUGAUGGGACAGGAGUGGAGGAUACAGUCUCUGGCCAGAUCUCAUGAUCCUGUCCUCAUCCCACAACAUGCACUAGUGACCCUCUCAUGCUCCCACUGCCACAAAAGGCAGAAUUGGGGUUGGAACAUCUGACCCAAGUCCACACCUCUUUCCUCUCUCCUUCCGCAUUUCUGAGUCUUGAAGUAAUGCUGGGCCAAAGUGGGGGUGGUCCUUGGCCAUCCUGGGAGGAGCUUUGCACACUGGUGGUAAGUUCCUAUUUCAGUUGAUGGUUCUAUAGUGGAUGAGCUCCACAUUCAAUUCUUAUGCCCCUGCAGCUGCCGUAGGAGGCAGGGUGACCCGUCACCAAGGCAGCUCCCACAACCUGGUCACAGCUCUUUCCUCAGGGCCUGUUACCCAGCAUGAGCUAAGGUCCUUGGGAACUUCUAAGACCACUUGAAGGAGGAAAUUUAUUCUGUGUCUUUCCCUCUCCUUUUCUCCCUCCCUCCCUCCUUCCGUCCCUCCCUGUCUUCUUUUAUUUUUCCUUCCCUUCCUUUUUCCUCCCAUCCAUUCACUCAAAUCUAGGCGAUGCAUCCCUGUGGUGUGCUAGCUAUUGUUUCUCUAGGUUAAGAGGCAUCAGAAACAGAAUACUUCCCCUGAGUCAGGAGCCACACCAAAUUAUUCAUAGGCUGAAUCUAUUGCAAGUUUUAGAGGGAAUUUUCUUCAAGGUUGUGGCUGUGAGGCUGCUGAGUGAAAGAAGUAAUGAAUAUGCCUAACAUUCGCAGAGGUGAGAAAUGUUGCCUGGACUCAGACAGCCCAGGGUCUCAGGCUCACACAGCCCUGGGACAAUUGCAGUAAAGAGAAUGCCCUGAACAGAGAUUCAUACUGUCUUGGCCUUGGUGGAUGGAAUUCUAAUCUCCCUGAACUCUUCAAUCUGUGGGUUGAUGGAUUAAACACGCAUAUAUUCAACAUGAGUGGAUAGCUGGGUCUCCCCAAACUCUACACCUGUAUGGAAUCCAUUUCCCCCUGUUCUGGACCAUUUAGAAGGGCAUGUGGGUACCUGGAGUUGUCUGACAGAGAUACUGACUGGAGAAGCGGUGAGGUCCCCAACACUGAGAUGAUUUGGGUUGGAAAUGAUGAGUAACCAUCAGGCAUGCUGUGGGAGGGGCUCCUGCUCUGGUUGGAGGUGGGACUGGAUAUCUGUAGAUUAUCAAAGCCAUCUUGUUCAUCAAAGCCAUCUUGUUAAUGAGGGUCAAGAUCAUCCUCACAUCUGAGUAUCUUGAAAGGUUCCUCACAAAUCUAAGAUUCAACUACCAGGAAUAAUGGUCUCAAAGUAGAAUCUGAACUUGGAUUCCCUUAGACUCAGAACUGGAACCUGAACUUGGAUUCCCUUAGACUCACAACUGUUUGGCUUUGUCAGGUGCUGCUUCUUGGAUUUGCCUCCUGACUGUUGCCAAUUCCCCCCUACCUCAUAGUCUUCAUUCACCCCCUGCAGUGCCCCACUGAUGACACCAUUCUGCCAGUGAUGCCUGGAUCUCCCAUGGCAUCGCCUACCUUCUAGGUAGUUUUACAGAGAGGAAGUGUAGCCUCAUGAAGAAACCAGC
This 5058-nucleotide long non-coding RNA is filed under the name Macaca fascicularis (crab-eating macaque). RNAcentral's name for it is "lncRNA (ENSMFAG00000060527.1)". Lineage: Eukaryota; Metazoa; Chordata; Mammalia; Primates; Cercopithecidae. The record is from RNAcentral.